Molecule: transfer RNA, 72 nt
Filed under: Aedes aegypti (yellow fever mosquito)
Lineage: Eukaryota; Metazoa; Arthropoda; Insecta; Diptera; Culicidae
Rfam family: tRNA
About the family: Transfer RNA (tRNA) molecules are approximately 80 nucleotides in length.
Source: Rfam by way of RNAcentral
GGCUCGGUAGCUUAGUUGGUAAAGCGCUCGUCGAGCAUACAAGAGUCCUGGGUUCAAAUCCCAGCCGAGCAC